AUUGGAGGGCAAGUCUGGUGCCAGCAGCCGCGGUAAUUCCAGCUCCAAUAGCGUAUAUUAAACUUGUUGCAGUUAAAAAGCUCGUAGUUGAAUUUCUGCGUUAUCGAGUUAUUGACUCUUGUCUUUAAUCGAUUUCGCUUUUGGGAUUUAUCCCUUUUUACUUUGAGAAAAUUAGAGUGUUUCAAGCAGACUUUUGUCUUGAAUACUUCAGCAUGGAAUAAUAGAGUAGGACUUUGGUUCUAUUUUGUUGGUUUUUGAACCUUAGUAAUGGUUAAUAGGAACGGUUGGGGGCAUUCGUAUUUAACUGUCAGAGGUGAAAUUCUUAGAUUUGUUAAAGACGAACUACUGCGAAAGCAUUUGCCAAGGACGUUUCCAUUAAUCAAGAACGAAAGUUAGGGGAUCGAAGACGAUCAGAUACCGUCGUAGUCCUAACCAUAAACUA
Molecule: ribosomal RNA, 442 nt
Filed under: Babesia venatorum (nom. ined.)
Lineage: Eukaryota; Apicomplexa; Aconoidasida; Piroplasmida; Babesiidae
Description: SSU rRNA
Rfam family: Eukaryotic small subunit ribosomal RNA
Source: RNAcentral